AUGCCGAUCGCCGGCUGCUUCGGCGGGAAAGGGAAGGUGGGCGGCGGCGGCGGUGCCGCGCGCCCGCGCUACGUGCCCAGGAGGGGCAAGGUGUUCCGGGCCGUGCUGGGCGCGCUCAUCAGCUGCUACCGCCCCGCCAGGACCGGGCCUCUGCCGCGCUGA
RNAcentral lists this ribosomal RNA (162 nucleotides) under Triticum aestivum (bread wheat). RNAcentral's name for it is "partial small subunit ribosomal RNA". The record is from RNAcentral. Lineage: Eukaryota; Viridiplantae; Streptophyta; Magnoliopsida; Poales; Poaceae.